GUUCAGUACAAUCCACGAUUUCAGGCACCCUCCAGGGGUCUUGGAAUGUAUCCCUCAUGAACAAGCGCCAUCGCCCGUUGUAAUUGAUGUGUUCAUCAAGUCUGAUGGGAACCCUGCUAAUUUCUCACAAGAAACUGGAUCAGCUGCAGUUAUUUCUGCCAAUACCCCAGUUGGAUGUUUCCAUUUAGAUGCCAGCUGUACACUUCUCUUCACAGCCCAUGCUGAGGACUGAUGCCAUCAGAAGCCCAUACUGUGAGUGCUGGUGACCCAAGAUGGCACUGUCUGCCCAGCAGGUAGGAGCACGCAGCCCCACCAGCCUCUGCAGGUGAGCUCGGCCUGCAUCCGAGCUCAAAGCACACCAGGAGAUCUGACCAAGUAGCCAACAUUUCUAAAACAAAUUGCUUUUCCGGAGCCAUGAAAUUAGCUUCUGGAGUAAAAUAUUAAACCCC
Molecule: long non-coding RNA, 449 nt
Filed under: Callithrix jacchus (white-tufted-ear marmoset)
Lineage: Eukaryota; Metazoa; Chordata; Mammalia; Primates; Cebidae
Description: lncRNA (ENSCJAG00000070892.1)
Source: RNAcentral